Molecule: ribosomal RNA, 497 nt
Filed under: uncultured bacterium
Lineage: Bacteria
Description: partial 16S ribosomal RNA
Rfam family: Bacterial small subunit ribosomal RNA
Source: RNAcentral
GAUGAACGCUGGCGGCGUGCCUAAUACAUGCAAGUCGAGCGAACAGACGAGGCGCUUGCCUCUCUGACGUUAGCGGCGGACGGGUGAGUAACACGUGGAUAACCUACCUAUAAGACUGGGAUAACUUCGGGAAACCGGAGCUAAUAUAGGACAAUAUAUUGAACCGCAUGGUUCAAUAGUGAAAGACGGUUUUGCUGUCACUUAUAGAUGGAUCCGCGCCGCAUUAGCUAGUUGGUAAGGUAACGGCUUACCAAGGCAACGAUGCGUAGCCGACCUGAGAGGGUGAUCAGCCACACUGGAACUGAGACACGGUCCAGACUCCUACGGGAGGCAGCAGUAGGGAAUCUUCCACAAUGGGCGAAAGCUUGACGGAGCAACGCCGCGUGAGUGAUGAAGGUCUUCGGAUCGUAAAGCUCUGUUAGUAGGGAAGAACAAAUGUGUAAGUAACUAUGCACGUCUUGACGGUACCUAAUCAGAAAGCCACGGCUAACUACGUG